Molecule: long non-coding RNA, 94 nt
Organism: Apis cerana (Asiatic honeybee)
Lineage: Eukaryota; Metazoa; Arthropoda; Insecta; Hymenoptera; Apidae
Source: RefSeq, a predicted model, not a curated record
AUCAGAUUAAAGAAACAAUUAUUUGAAGUGUGGCGCUGCCAUCUCGAGAAACGGCCUUGCGAAAGGCAAAUCGCAACAACACACGGGACAACAG